This 497-nucleotide ribosomal RNA is filed under the name uncultured bacterium. RNAcentral's name for it is "partial 16S ribosomal RNA". It matches the Rfam family "Bacterial small subunit ribosomal RNA", at positions 28 to 507 of the family's 1533-position model. The record is from RNAcentral.
GAUGGACGCUGGCGGCGUGCCUAAUACAUGCAAGUCGAGCGAACGGACGAGAAGCUUGCUUCUCUGAUGUUAGCGGCGGACGGGUGAGUAACACGUGGAUAACCUACCUAUAAGACUGGGAUAACUUCGGGAAACCGUAGCUAAUACCGGAUAAUAUUUUGAACCGCAUGGUUCAAAAGUGAAAGACGGUCUUGCUGUCACUUAUAGAUGGAUCCGCGCUGCAUUAGCUAGUUGGUAAGGUAACGGCUUACCAAGGCAACGAUGCAUAGCCGACCUGAGAGGGUGAUCGGCCACACUGGAACUGAGACACGGUCCAGACUCCUACGGGAGGCAGCAGUAGGGAAUCUUCCGCAAUGGGCGAAAGCCUGACGGAGUAACGCCGCGUGAGUGAUGAAGGUCUUCGGAUCGUAAAACUCUGUUAUUAGGGAAGAACAUAUGUGUAAGUAACUGUGCACAUCUUGACGGUACCUAAUCAGAAAGCCACGGCUAACUACGUG